GUCGUGAGAUGUUGGGUUAAGUCCCGCAACGAGCGCAACCCUUGCCUUUAGUUGCCAUCAUUAAGUUGGGCACUCUAAAGGGACUGCCCGUGUCAAACGGGAGGAAGGCGGGGAUGACGUCAAGUCCUCAUGGCCCUUAUGUCCGGGGCUACACACGUGCUACAAUGGGCGGUACAAAGGGCAGCAAACCCGCGAGGGGGAGCCAAUCCCAAAAAGCCGCUCUCAGUUCGGAUUGGAGUCUGCAACUCGACUCCAUGAAGGCGGAAUCGCUAGUAAUCGCGGAUCAGCACGCCGCGGUGAAUACGUUCCCGGGCCUUGUACACACCGCCCGUCACACCAUGGAAGCCAGCUGUACCGGAAGUCGGUGAUGGAACCCGCAAGGGACCUAGCCGCCGAUGGUAUGACUGGUGACUGGGGUGAAGUCGUAACAAGGUAGCCGUAGGGGAACCUGCGGCUGGAUCACCUCCUUUCUAAGGAGUUCCUGCCCGAAAGGGUUUGGACACCUAGGUCAAUCCGCAUGUCCGGUUGGUGUGCGGUUCACCGUGCCGAAAGCUACUAUUCAGUUUUAAGGGACUGAGACGCUAGAUCCCACGACACCGACUCGAGCCGCAAUGAGUUGUGGGCCUAUAGCUCAGCUGGCUAGAGCGCACCCCUGAUAAGGGUGAGGUCGGUAGUUCGACUCUACCUAGGCCCAUCGUGUGGGGCUGUAGCUCAGCUGGGAGAGCACCGGCUUUGCAAGCCGGGGGUCGUGGGUUCGAUGCCCAUCAGCUCCAUUGAAACCGCAUAAGAUUCGUACGGCCGUCGUCAGUGGACGAUGUCCGAGCUCUUUGACAACUGAAUAGUGUGUACGGGUAACCGGUGAGUGCAAGCGCAUGAGUGCUCUUGCAUUACUGGUCAAGCUAUUAAGGGCACACGGUGGAUGCCUAGGCGCGAGAAGGCGACGAAGGACGUGGCUAGCUGCGAUAAGCUUCGGGGAGCCGCUAAGCAGGCUUUGAUCCGGAGAUUU
Molecule: small RNA, 1006 nt
Filed under: uncultured Pelobacter sp.
Lineage: Bacteria; Pseudomonadati; Thermodesulfobacteriota; Desulfuromonadia; Desulfuromonadales; Desulfuromonadaceae
Description: bacterial SSU rRNA
Rfam family: Bacterial small subunit ribosomal RNA (bases 1-470)
Source: RNAcentral